This 18-nucleotide microRNA is filed under the name Physcomitrium patens. RNAcentral's name for it is "ppt-miR902a-5p". Its record names the gene ppt-miR902a-5p. Lineage: Eukaryota; Viridiplantae; Streptophyta; Bryopsida; Funariales; Funariaceae. The record is from miRBase by way of RNAcentral.
UAUGAUGCAGAUUCUUCA